RNAcentral lists this ribosomal RNA (117 nucleotides) under Lepisosteus oculatus (spotted gar). The record is from RNAcentral. Lineage: Eukaryota; Metazoa; Chordata; Actinopteri; Semionotiformes; Lepisosteidae.
GCCAGCAGGCAUAUCACCCUGCAGCUCUCAACUGGCAACCUACUAAAGCUAAGCAGGGUUGAACCUGGUCAGUACCCGGAUGGGAGACCUCCUGGGAAGCUAGAGUUGCUGCUGGAA